Molecule: transfer RNA, 71 nt
Filed under: Neotoma lepida (desert woodrat)
Lineage: Eukaryota; Metazoa; Chordata; Mammalia; Rodentia; Cricetidae
Rfam family: tRNA
About the family: Transfer RNA (tRNA) molecules are approximately 80 nucleotides in length. Their secondary structure includes four short double-helical elements and three loops (D, anti-codon, and T loops).
Source: Rfam by way of RNAcentral
UGAGAUAUAGCUCAGUGCUAUAGCAUUUGUCUAACAUGCAUAAGUUGUUGGUUCAAUCCCUAGUAUCAUAU